CGUAGGGUGCAAGCGUUAAUCGGAAUUACUGGGCGUAAAGCGUGCGCAGGCGGCUUUGCAAGACAGAUGUGAAAUCCCCGGGCUCAACCUGGGAACUGCAUUUGUGACUGCAUCGCUCGAGUGUGGCAGAGGGGAGUGGAAUUCCGCGUGUAGCAGUGAAAUGCGUAGAUAUGCGGAGGAACACCGAUGGCGAAGGCAAUCCCCUGGGCCUGCACUGACGCUCAUGCACGAAAGCGUGGGAGCAAACAGGAUU
RNAcentral lists this ribosomal RNA (253 nucleotides) under uncultured bacterium. RNAcentral describes it as "partial 16S ribosomal RNA". It matches the Rfam family "Bacterial small subunit ribosomal RNA", at positions 526 to 779 of the family's 1533-position model. The record is from RNAcentral.